This 73-nucleotide transfer RNA is filed under the name Artedius lateralis (smoothhead sculpin). RNAcentral's name for it is "tRNA-Val". It matches the Rfam family "tRNA". From Rfam's summary of the family: Transfer RNA (tRNA) molecules are approximately 80 nucleotides in length. Their secondary structure includes four short double-helical elements and three loops (D, anti-codon, and T loops). Further hydrogen bonds mediate the characteristic L-shaped molecular structure. tRNAs have two regions of fundamental functional importance: the anti-codon, which is responsible for specific mRNA codon recognition, and the 3' end, to which the tRNAs corresponding amino acid is attached (by aminoacyl-tRNA synthetases). tRNAs cope with the degeneracy of the genetic code in two manners: having more than one tRNA (with a specific anti-codon) for a particular amino acid; and 'wobble' base-pairing, i.e. permitting non-standard base-pairing at the 3rd anti-codon position. Lineage: Eukaryota; Metazoa; Chordata; Actinopteri; Perciformes; Cottidae. The record is from RNAcentral.
CAGGGCGUAGCUAAGAUAGUAAAGCGCCUCCCUUACACUGAGAAGUCGCCCGCGCAAACCGGGCCGCCCUGAU